UUACACAUGCAAGUCGAACGCCCUCUUCGGAGGGAGUGGCAGACGGGUGAGUAACGCGUGGGAACGUGCCCUUCGGUACGGAACAACAGUUAGAAAUGACUGCUAAUACCGUAUACGACCUCCGGGUGAAAGAUUUAUCGCCGAAGGAUCGGCCCGCGUUAGAUUAGCUUGAUGGUGAGGUAAAGGCUCACCAUGGCGACGAUCUAUAGCUGUUCUGAGAGGAAGAUCAGCCACACUGGGACUGAGACACGGCCCAGACUCCUACGGGAGGCAGCAGUGGGGAAUAUUGGACAAUGGGCGAAAGCCUGAUCCAGCCAUGCCGCGUGGAUGAAGAAGGCCCUAGGGUUGUAAAGUCCUUUCAAUGGUGAAGAUAAUGACGGUAACCAUAGAAGAAGCCCCGGCUAAUUUCGUGCCAGCAGCCGCGGUAAUACGAAAGGGGCUAGCGUUGUUCGGAAUUACUGGGCGUAAAGCGCACGUAGGCGGCCUUGUAAGUUGGGGGUGAAAUCCCGGAGCUCAACUCCGGAACUGCCUUCAAAACUACAAAGCU
Molecule: ribosomal RNA, 547 nt
Filed under: uncultured bacterium
Lineage: Bacteria
Description: bacterial SSU rRNA
Rfam family: Bacterial small subunit ribosomal RNA
Source: RNAcentral